CAUUGUACUGAGACACGGACCAGAUUCCUACGGGAGGCAGCAGUGAGGAAUAUUGGACAAUGGGUGAGAGCCUGAUCCAGCCAUCCCGCGUGAAGGACGACUGCCCUAUGGGUUGUAAACUUCUUUUGUAUAGGGAUAAACCUACUCUCGUGAGAGUAGCUGAAGGUACUAUACGAAUAAGCACCGGCUAACUCCGUGCCAGCAGCCGCGGUAAUACGGAGGGUGCAAGCGUUAUCCGGAUUUAUUGGGUUUAAAGGGUCCGUAGGCGGAUGUGUAAGUCAGUGGUGAAAUCUCACAGCUUAACUGUGAAACUGCCAUUGAUACUGCAUGUCUUGAGUGUUGUUGAAGUAGCUGGAAUAAGUAGUGUAGCGGUGAAAUGCAUAGAUAUUACUUAGAACACCAAUUGCGAAGGCAGGUUACUAAGCAACAACUGACGCUGAUGGACGAAAGCGUGGGGAGCGAACAGGAUUAGAUACCCUGGUAGUCCACGCCGUAAACGAUGCUAACUCGUUUUUGGAGCGCAAGCUUCAGAGACUAAGCGAAAGUGAUAAGUUAGCCACCUGGGGAGUACGUUCGCAAGAAUGAAACUCAAAGGAAUUGACGGGGGCCCGCACAAGCGGUGGAUUAUGUGGUUUAAUUCGAUGAUACGCGAGGAACCUUACCAAGGCUUAAAUGGGAAAUGACAGGUUUAGAAAUAGACUUUUCUUCGGACAUUUUUCAAGGUGCUGCAUGGUUGUCGUCAGCUCGUGCCGUGAGGUGUUAGGUUAAGUCCUGCAACGAGCGCAACCCCUGUCACUAGUUGCCAUCAUUAAGUUGGGGACUCUAGUGAGACUGCCUACGCAAGUAGAGAGGAAGGUGGGGAUGACGUCAAAUCAUCACGGCCCUUACGCCUUGGGCCACACACGUAAUACAAUGGCCAGUACAGAGGGCAGCUACACGGUGACGUGAUGCAAAUCUCGAAAGCUGGUCUCAGUUCGGAUUGGAGUCUGCAACUCGACUCUAUGAAGCUGGAAUCGCUAGUAAUCGCGCAUCAGCCAUGGCGCGGUGAAUACGUUCCCGGGCCUUGUACACACCGCCCGUCAAGCCAUGGAAGUCUGGGGUACCUGAAGUCGGUGACCGUAACAGGAGCUGCCUUAGGUAAAC
RNAcentral lists this ribosomal RNA (1143 nucleotides) under Chryseobacterium ureilyticum. RNAcentral's name for it is "bacterial SSU rRNA". It matches the Rfam family "Bacterial small subunit ribosomal RNA", at positions 311 to 1467 of the family's 1533-position model. Lineage: Bacteria; Pseudomonadati; Bacteroidota; Flavobacteriia; Flavobacteriales; Weeksellaceae. The record is from RNAcentral.